Molecule: ribosomal RNA, 459 nt
Filed under: uncultured bacterium
Lineage: Bacteria
Description: bacterial SSU rRNA
Rfam family: Bacterial small subunit ribosomal RNA
Source: RNAcentral
GAUGAACGUUGGCGGCGUGCCUAAUACAUGCAAGUCGAACGAAGACUGUAGUAAUACUGUCUUAGUGGCGAACGGGUGAGUAACGCGUGGGUGACCUGCCCCGAAGUGUGGGAUAACAGUCCGAAAGGAUUGCUAAUACUGCAUAAUAUCCAAGAGAUUAGAUGCUUUUGGAUUAAAGGAGUAAUUCGCUUCGGGAGGGGCCCGCGUCCCAUCAGCUAGUUGGUAAGGUAAUGGCUUACCAAGGCGAUGACGGGUAGGGGACCUGAGAGGGUGGCCCCCCACAAUGGAACUGAAACACGGUCCAUACACCUACGGGUGGCAGCAGUAGGGAAUAUUAGUAAUGGGCGAAAGCCUGAACUAGCAACGCCGCGUGUGCGAAGAAGGCCUUCGGGUCGUAAAGCACUUUUUGAGAGGAUGAGGAAGGACGGUACUCUCAGAAUAAGUUCGGCUAACUACGUG